UCGACUAAGGUUCGACUCGAGCGUCAGUGAGAGAACGUUGCCGCAGGCAACGGCCCGAAGGGCGAGGCGCUUUAGCGCCGAGUAAUCCUUCCCCCACUACUG
Molecule: small RNA, 102 nt
Filed under: Klebsiella aerogenes
Lineage: Bacteria; Pseudomonadati; Pseudomonadota; Gammaproteobacteria; Enterobacterales; Enterobacteriaceae
Description: partial RtT sRNA
Rfam family: RtT RNA
About the family: This family represents a bacterial cis-regulatory element known as RtT RNA. The exact function of RtT is unknown although it is thought that it may be involved in changing the cellular response in relation to amino acid starvation.
Source: RNAcentral